AUCCUUUUAGCUGUAAUAGCGUUACGGUUUCGGCCCGUAGAGAACAGAUGAAUUUCUGUGAAGGUUA
RNAcentral lists this transfer RNA (67 nucleotides) under Perumytilus purpuratus. Its description in RNAcentral is "tRNA-Arg". Lineage: Eukaryota; Metazoa; Mollusca; Bivalvia; Mytilida; Mytilidae. The record is from RNAcentral.